CACUGUUCUGGCUCUGCGGCGAAAGAUAGAUUAAUGUGGUAGAUAUGUAUGUGGGGAUUAUAUGAAUUUAUGACAUGUCGGGAUAGUCGAGCAAAGCGGUGGUUGUGAGGCGGUAGUGUCGCCAGAUGUUCACGAGAAAAAGUGUCGAGACAGCGGCGUGAUGAGUGAAAUGCUGACUCGGGACGCCUGCUGGAGGCCCACAACUCCUAGGAAAGCCUUGCCAAAUGUGUGUUUCCUUAGGUUCAAAGUACAGAGGAAGGGUCACACUACCACCAGGGUCACAAAACUACCCCUGGAAAUGCCCACAACUCCUAGGAAAGCCUUGCCAAAUGUGUGUUUCCUUAGGUUCAAAGUACAGAGGAAGGGUCACACUACCACCAGGGCCACAAAACUACCCCUGGAAAUGCCCACAACUCCUAGGAAAGCCUUGUCAAAUGUGUGUUUCCUUAGGUUCACGGUACAGAGGAAGGGUCACAAAACUACCCCUGGAAAUGCCCACAACUCCUAGGAAAGCCUUGGCAAAUGUGUGUUUCCUUAGGUUCACGGUACAGAGGAAGGGUCACAAAACUACCCCUGGAAAUGCCCACAACUCCUAGGAAAGCCUUGCCAAAUGUGUGUUUCCUUAGGUUCACGGUACAGAGGAAGGGUCACAAAACUACCCCUGGAAAUGCCCACAACUCCUAGGAAAGCCUUGGCAAAUUAUGCUUACAUCUCAAAAUUAUCAAAUAAUCUAUGUUUCUUUAUGUGCACCAUUUAAUUCUGCAUGUUUUUAUAUAUAAUACAUGAUGAUUAUAUUGAGUUUAUGGCUGAAAAAACAGACACAGACGGGCUAGGCAUGGGUCAUAUAGGAUGACUGGCAGGAACCAACACUAUGAGCCACAUAUUUGUAACAGGUUCACAGCAUGGUGUGGUGAAUGCUUAUGUUGCCUUCCCAUGACUGAGCCUUGGGGAGCUUGGCCAUUUCCAGGGGGAGUUUUAUGGCCCCUCUGCCCGGGCUGCCU
This is a long non-coding RNA of Eriocheir sinensis (Chinese mitten crab), 1001 nucleotides long. RefSeq lists it as uncharacterized. The record is from RefSeq and is a predicted model, not a curated record. NCBI's taxonomy places the organism in Eukaryota, Metazoa, Arthropoda, Malacostraca, Decapoda, Varunidae. The transcript is spliced from 3 exons.